GAUGAACGCUGGCGGCGUGCCUAAUACAUGCAAGUCGAGCGAACAGACGAGGAGCUUGCUCCUCUGACGUUAGCGGCGGACGGGUGAGUAACACGUGGAUAACCUACCUAUAAGACUGGGAUAACUUCGGGAAACCGGAGCUAAUACCGGAUAAUAUAUUGAACCGCAUGGUUCAAUAGUGAAAGACGGUUUUGCUGUCACUUAUAGAUGGAUCCGCGCCGCAUUAGCUAGUUGGUAAGGUAACGGCUUACCAAGGCAACGAUGCGUAGCCGACCUGAGAGGGUGAUAGGCCACACUGGAACUGAGACACGGUCCAGACUCCUACGGGAGGCAGCAGUCGGGAAUCUUCCGCAAUGGGCGAAAGCCUGACGGAGCAACGCCGCGUGAGUGAUGAAGGUCUUCGGAUCGUAAAACUCUGUUAUUAGGGAAGAACAAAUGUGUAAGUAACUAUGCACGUCUUGACGGUACCUAAUCAGAAAGCCACGGCUAACUACGUG
This 497-nucleotide ribosomal RNA is filed under the name uncultured bacterium. RNAcentral describes it as "partial 16S ribosomal RNA". It matches the Rfam family "Bacterial small subunit ribosomal RNA", at positions 28 to 507 of the family's 1533-position model. The record is from RNAcentral.